CAUUCAGAAGCUAUAAUAAGUGGGAAAUAUUCAGAUAGAGGCUGGUGCCCUGACAGCGAAAAGUCCAGAUGGGAAGAGCAAUAAUUGAACAUAUUGGUUUCUUUGGUAAUCAACGGAGAAACAGAGGAAUGCCUGACAAAUGUUCUUUCCAAAACAGAGAUAGUGAACAUAAAACUGCUCGAAUGCAUGCCAGAACUGUACUGCUAGAUUUUUACAACCAGCCAGCCUAUCAUCAAUGACUUUGAGAGGAAACCUCUGCAGGGACUGCAAGCCAAAUUCCCAUUUGGAGAAUUGUUCAUUUGGAUGCCUAGUCAAUUCUUUCUCAACCAGACUCAACACUUCUGUUCAAGAAUGCACACACCCUGUUCUCACAGAUUGACUGAAAUGCUGUGCACAUCUGAACACGGUGAGGAUGCUGAGCUCUCUCCUCCUGUCAAUCACCAGCUCACCACAAUGACUAACAGGAAUGAGUGAAAAGGAAAGUCCUUGUUGUCCUCUGGUAAAUCUAUGUCUGACAUUCCUUCACUGUUAGGAAUAUUAAUUUGCCAAUGAGACAGCCACAGAGUAUUAGCAUUUGCCCAUACUCUGUUUUCAGGUAUGGGUGCUGAGAUCUUAUUUAUUUCAAAAUAAAUCUGCUCAAAAUUUGGUCUAGUUUAUUACU
This 661-nucleotide long non-coding RNA is filed under the name Anas platyrhynchos platyrhynchos (common mallard). Its description in RNAcentral is "lncRNA (ENSAPLG00000018585.1)". Lineage: Eukaryota; Metazoa; Chordata; Aves; Anseriformes; Anatidae. The record is from RNAcentral.